This 253-nucleotide ribosomal RNA is filed under the name uncultured bacterium. RNAcentral describes it as "partial 16S ribosomal RNA". It matches the Rfam family "Bacterial small subunit ribosomal RNA", at positions 524 to 776 of the family's 1533-position model. The record is from RNAcentral.
UACGUAGGUGGCGAGCGUUGUCCGGAUUUACUGGGCGUAAAGAGCGCGCAGGCGGUCGUUCAAGUCGCGUGUGAAAGCCCCCGGCUCAACUGGGGAGGGUCACGCGAUACUGAUCGACUCGAAGGCAGGAGAGGGAAGUGGAAUUCCCGGUGUAGUGGUGAAAUGCGUAGAUAUCGGGAGGAACACCAGUGGCGAAGGCGACUUCCUGGCCUGUUCUUGACGCUGAGGCGCGAAAGCCAGGGGAGCGAACGGG